CAUCUGAAAGACUUUUGUAGUGGCAGCCACUUUAUGAGUCAGUGGAAGUUUCAUUAAACGUGUAAAUUUCAAAAGGACGAGCUGUGUGAUCUGUGAGAGGUGGUGCAGCGAUGGCAGCAGGAGGUGCAGGAGCAGAAGGAGAGCCGGGUAAAGGAGGUGCAGGCCCUUAAGGAAGAGCUGCAGAGCACACAAAGUUGUCUGCAGCAGCACAGAGAUACAGCCCACAGACAGCAGAGAGACACGGAGGAUGAGGAUACAGAGUUGAUUCAACUAAAGGCAGGUCUGCUGGAGGCUGAGAAACUAGACACAGAGGCACGACUGCAACCUCUUACCGAAUCCCUAGAGCUCUGCCAACACAAGUACCAGGCCUGCCUCAGCAAGAUCACACAACAAGAGAACACUCUGCAUAGCCACGAGGAGGACCUGAAAGAGGCCCACAAUCAGGUGGCAAAGAGGGAAGAGCAGGUCCUCCGUCUGAGGGCUCAGGUUGUAGCUCAGCAGGUACACUGCGCCCAGCUGGAGAGUGGAGACGAUGCCCUCACCGCUCUGAGCCAGCAGCUCCGAGACACGCUGGGAGAACUGGAGCACAGUCGUAAACACAGCCAGGAGUGUGAGCUGCUCAUCAGCACUCUCAGAGACACUGCUGCUACCCGUCUCUGACAGAGGUGCAGCGACUGCAGGAGCAGGUGAGAAAGCUCCAGGUGGAUGCAGCAGAUGAGGGCUGGAGACAAGCACAAGUUGAUUCUCUGGAACAGAAGGUAGCUAGUCUGGAAGGAGAACUACUGGCAGCUCAAAGGCAGUGUGACCAGGCUAUCCAAAAGAGAGACGCCCUACUUAGACAAUCCGAGGCUGAUCUUCUGCAGGCGUGGGAGAAGAUCCGAAGCAAGGCGGCGGAGGCAGAGAGACAGGCCGUCUCUGCUCGAGGGCUAGAAGCUGAUCUGUAGAAACCCAAGAAAGAGAAAAGGCGAAGGGAGAAAGAGUGCGCCUCACUCAAAACACAGAUGCUUCAGCUCAGAGAACAACUGAAGGAGGCUUACACCACCCGUAGAGACAUGGUCUCCUGUCUGAAAUGAAACAGCCCAUCAAUUCAGAGCCUCAAGACAUCAGCUGCAUGCACAUCUUCACACACACCACUGUGGGAAUGAUGCUCGUUAGAAACAAUAUCCUCAGCACAGAUGAAGACGGGCAGAUGUGGCCAAGGUAUAACCUGGAAAGGGA
Cyprinus carpio carpio is the source of this 1218-nucleotide long non-coding RNA. Lineage: Eukaryota; Metazoa; Chordata; Actinopteri; Cypriniformes; Cyprinidae. The record is from Ensembl.